UCAAGCGACUAAGGGCGCACGGUGGAUGUCUUGGCGUCGAGAGGCGAUGAAGGACGUUGGAACCUGCGAAAAGCUUCAGGGAGCUGGUAACCAAGCUGUGAUCUGAAGAUGUCCGAAUGGGGUAACCCGGCCGAAAGGUCAUCAUGUACUGAAUGCAUAGGUGCAUGAAGCGAACCCGGAGAACUGAAACAUCUAAGUACCCGGAGGAAAAGAAAUCAACCGAGAUUCCCUGAGUAGCGGCGAGCGAAAGGGGACCAGCCGAUCCGAUAUGUCGUAGUGGAAGCCUCUGGAAAGUGGCGCCAUAGUGGGUGAUAGCCCCGUACGGGUAGAAGAACGAUUGGGCCUCGAGUAGGGCGGGACACGUGAAAUCCUGUCUGAACAUGGGGGGACCACCCUCCAAGCCUAAGUACUCCUCAGCGACCGAUAGUGAACCAGUACCGUGAGGGAAAGGCGAAAAGAACCCCGGAGAGGGGAGUGAAAUAGAACCUGAAACCGGAUGCGUACAAGCAGUCGGAGCCCGUUCGUCGGGUGACGGCGUACCUUUUGUAUAAUGGGUCAGCGACUUAG
Molecule: ribosomal RNA, 567 nt
Filed under: uncultured alveolate
Lineage: Eukaryota
Description: partial Bacterial large subunit ribosomal RNA
Rfam family: Bacterial large subunit ribosomal RNA
Source: RNAcentral